This 1921-nucleotide long non-coding RNA is filed under the name Gallus gallus (chicken). The record is from RNAcentral. Lineage: Eukaryota; Metazoa; Chordata; Aves; Galliformes; Phasianidae.
GAAAUAAACAUAGUGAAAAAUCACUUUAACAGAAAUUAUUUUUAGUUGUCACCUAGUGAUCCCUACCUUUAGUUUAAGUACUCUCUAUGGAAUAACAUGAAGUUAUUUUUGCCUGAAGGCUAUUUCUUUUAGAUAUAUGAAAAAUACUUGUGAUUUAUAUAAACCAGCUUAUUUCCUUAUGUGAUUUUUACGUAUAGGACUUUCACUAUCAAUUCACUUGACAUCGUCUGGAAGUCAGAUAUAAUUACAAAAAGCUGAAAGCAUUUGUUUACUGCAAUAACUUUCUGAACUGUAGGAGGAAUAUGUGCUCAUGCUAGAAAAUAUUCUUAUAUUUAAUCUUACGAGGAUUAUGCUGCUAAGUGCAUAAUCUAAUGUUAAACAUAUCUUCACUCCUAAAUAGAUCCUCAGUGGAUUCCCACAGUGUGGCACCUAAACAUCAAUAUAUGAGUGAGCUUCAUUUCUCUGAUUGUUAAAGUGAUUUAGGUAGAAAUUAGAUGCUUUACGUUCUGUGUAAUGCAGUGUUCGUAGGUGGAAAAAUGAAAAUAUGCAAAUAGAAGAUAUUUCAAUUCUAGAAGCUUAAGUUUCCACUAGGUCAAUGAAAAUGCAAUACAAGAUCGACUUAACUAGCUGAGACCUUAAACACACAUUAUAUGUAGUCAGUGUGGUCGUCCUGCAUUUUGUUUCUUUGGAGUCACCAACAAGUUCUUCUCUAAUUCUUUCAGGGUUUUAAUGUUGUUUCUUUUUUUCUUUUAUUUUUGUUUUUCUAGCAGUAGGUGAUAGAUUAAGAUGAGUGCUAAUUAUUUUGUGGAGAGCUCCUCCACUGUCUUGCAUAGCACAUAGUGCCUGUUUAAUGACAGUUUGUAUUAUCUGUGUUCUUCAUACCUGGACUAAGGAUGUGAGGGAAGAAGACUCAUUAUAAGAUAGAAUUUAUAUAAGAACAGUAGCUGUUCUUCUAAUUUUAAAAGUUUAAACGGAUGAAAAACUUCACUUUCUGAGGAUAAGUGAAAGGACUUGAAUGUUGAUUUUUUUUUUUUUUUAUGGAAGUAACUGCUCUUGUGGAAGACAAAUGUAUUUGAUUUUUAGUAGAUUCUAGCAGUGUAUAUUUAUUUUAGAUUUAUCUGACACAUUAAAAAGCACCCAUUCAAGGCUGGAAAUGCCUUUGACAUUUAUUGAAAAUCCAGGCUUACUCUAAGCAAUUGUUGUUUCUUUCCAUAAUUAUUCAGCCUAGGACUCAGCAAAGCAUGUAUGUAACUUCAAGUACACAUUUAAAUGCUCUGAUGGAUAGGACAACUAGGCAGUGAGGAAGAAUGAAUUGGAAAGGUCAUAUUCUCUUCUCUGUUUGAGUUAUUCUGGCACAGCAAAGAAACCAGAAAUUGGGCAAAUUUAAGUAUUGGAAGUGGGACCAGCAGAGCCAGAUUUUAUUUCAGAGUCUCUCACAGCAGCAUCACAAAAACAUGAAAAGAUGCUUGGCAGGAACCCGGCAGCCUGCAGCAGAUUCAUUGGCUGUUAAAAGUAUCUGGUGAAAAUGAGAUCAGAGAGAGAAAGGAGAAGUAAAGACCUGAUCUAUGAGAGCUUAGGAUCUGGUUCCGAUCAGGGGACAGCAAGUAAUAUCCUUAUCUUUGCCUCAAACAUAUUUCAGAAAAAUGUGAUGUUACAAUACUUCAGCUUAGGUAAAUGUGCCUCACAAUAUUUUUUUUUUUUUUUUUUUGUAUUUGAUUCAUUAGGAAGAGAUUGUACACACCAGAUGAAGAAUACUUGAGUGCAGUUGUAUCACUUGUUCAGCCUCUGUUUGUGUAGACUUAAUGUUCAUUUAAAACAGAAGUUGGGAAAAAAAACCACUUCCCAGUGAGAUUCUAUGUAAAUCUAGCAUUUUCUCAGUGACCUAGAUAAUUUUUUCCACUAAUUUAUUUCAUUAUUAUUU